RNAcentral lists this unclassified non-coding RNA (327 nucleotides) under uncultured fungus. RNAcentral's name for it is "partial contains small subunit ribosomal RNA, internal transcribed spacer 1, and 5.8S ribosomal RNA". The stretch from base 1 to 73 matches the Rfam family "Eukaryotic small subunit ribosomal RNA", at positions 1759 to 1831 of the family's 1831-position model. The record is from RNAcentral. Lineage: Eukaryota; Fungi.
GCAAACUUGGUCAUUUAGAGGAAGUAAAAGUCGUAACAAGGUUUCCGUAGGUGAACCUGCGGAAGGAUCAUUAGAAAGAGUGCCCCCCGGCCGGCCCCCACGGGCCCCCGGGGCGGUUCCCUCCACCCGUGCCUACAGAAUUCAUUUGCCUCGGCGGGCCGGCCCCGUGACGGGGUCGAUUCGGCGGCGUCACGCCGCCGAGACCGUGUCCGCCGGAGGAAACUCACAACAUCGUUUUUCUAUCCAGUCUUAGUGGACCACACGUUAAAAUUAGUUAAAACUUUCAACAAUGGAUCUCUUGGUUCCGGCAUCGAUGAAGAACGCAGC